GACGAACCGAGCGAACGUUGUUCGGAAUCACUGGGCUUAAAGGGCGCGUAGGCGGGCGAUCAAGUCAGGGGUGAAAGCCCCCAGCUCAACUGGGGAAGUGCCUCUGAUACUGAUCGUCUCGAGGGGGAUAGGGGCGUGCGGAACUUCCGGUGGAGCGGUGGAAUGCGUAGAUAUCGGAAGGAACACCGGUGGCGAAAGCGGCGCGCUGGAUCCCUUCUGACGCUGAGGCGCGAAAGCCAGGGGAGCGAACGGG
This 253-nucleotide ribosomal RNA is filed under the name uncultured bacterium. RNAcentral's name for it is "partial 16S ribosomal RNA". It matches the Rfam family "Bacterial small subunit ribosomal RNA", at positions 524 to 776 of the family's 1533-position model. The record is from RNAcentral.